RNAcentral lists this ribosomal RNA (477 nucleotides) under uncultured bacterium. RNAcentral's name for it is "partial 16S ribosomal RNA". It matches the Rfam family "Bacterial small subunit ribosomal RNA", at positions 29 to 507 of the family's 1533-position model. The record is from RNAcentral.
AUUGAACGCUGGCGGCAUGCCUUACACAUGCAAGUCGAACGGUAACACGGUAAGCUGACGGGUGGCGAGCGGGUGAGUGAUAAAUCGGAACGUGCCCAGUAGCGAGGAAUAGCCGGGCGAAAGCCGGAUUAAUACCGCAUACGACCUAAGGGGGGAAGGGGGGGAUGGGAAGACCUCUCACUAUUGGAGCGUCCGAUGUCAGAUUAGCUAGUUGGUGGGGUAAAAGCUCACCAAGGCGACGAUCUGUAGCUGGUCUGAGAGGACGACCAGCCACACUGGGACUGAGACACGGCCCAGACUCCUACGGGAGGCAGCAGUGGGGAAUUUUGGACAAUGGGCGCAAGCCUGAUCCAGCCAUGCCGCGUGCGGGAAGAAGGCCUUCGGGUUGUAAAGCGCUUUUGUCAGGGAAGAAAUCCUUUGGGUUAAUACCUCGGGGGGAUGACGGUACCUGAAGAAUAAGCACCGGCUAACUACGUG